RNAcentral lists this ribosomal RNA (490 nucleotides) under uncultured bacterium. RNAcentral describes it as "partial 16S ribosomal RNA". It matches the Rfam family "Bacterial small subunit ribosomal RNA", at positions 30 to 507 of the family's 1533-position model. The record is from RNAcentral.
AUUGAACGCUGGUGGCAGGCUUAACACAUGCAAGUCGAACGGUAACAGGAAUUAGCUUGCUUAUUUGCUGACGAGUGGCGGACGGGUGAGUAAUGCUUGGGAAUCUGGCUUAUGGAGGGGGAUAACUACGGGAAACUGUAGUUAAUACCGCGUAAAAUCUUCGGAUUAAAGGGUGGGACUUUCGAGCCACCUGCCAUAAGCUGAGCCCAAGUGGGAUUUGGUAGUUGGUUAGGUAAAGGCUGACCAAGCCGACGAUCUCUAGCUGGUCUGAGAGGAUGACCAGCCACACUGGAACUGAGACACGGUCCAGACUCCUACGGGAGGCAGCAGUGGGGAAUAUUGCACAAUGGGGGGAAGCCUGAUGCAGCCAUGCCGCGUGAAUGAAGAAGGCCUUCGGGUUGUAAAGUUCUUUCGGUGACGAGGAAGGUUGAUAGGUUAAUAGCCUAUCAAAUUGACGUUAAUCACAGAAGAAGCACCGGCUAACUCCGUG